GGUAGUUAGUUUAGAAUAAUGACAAGGGUAAGCCGUGAUUUUGGAGAUACUAUGCAUAAACAUGCUCUCCCAGCUGUAUCAGCUGACGUUGUAUUUGCUUCAAGUCGUUUUCCUAAUUACAAAAUUGGAGCAAACAAUCAGAUUUUGGAUGCAAAGGAUGACCCAAAAGUGCUGACCAUGAAAGAGGUUGUGGCCCGCGAGACUGCAAUGCUUUU
Molecule: unclassified non-coding RNA, 215 nt
Filed under: Hevea brasiliensis (rubber tree)
Lineage: Eukaryota; Viridiplantae; Streptophyta; Magnoliopsida; Malpighiales; Euphorbiaceae
Source: RNAcentral